Molecule: transfer RNA, 70 nt
Filed under: Ornithorhynchus anatinus (platypus)
Lineage: Eukaryota; Metazoa; Chordata; Mammalia; Monotremata; Ornithorhynchidae
Rfam family: tRNA
About the family: Transfer RNA (tRNA) molecules are approximately 80 nucleotides in length. Their secondary structure includes four short double-helical elements and three loops (D, anti-codon, and T loops).
Source: Rfam by way of RNAcentral
GGCAGCUUGGCUUAGUGGAAAGAGCACAGGCCUGGGAUUCAGAGGCCUGGGUUCUAAUCCCAGUCUGCCA